This 1198-nucleotide long non-coding RNA is filed under the name Toxoplasma gondii VEG. The record is from RNAcentral. Lineage: Eukaryota; Apicomplexa; Conoidasida; Eucoccidiorida; Sarcocystidae.
GGUUGCUUCAGAGGGGGAGCAGUUUUUUCCCACCGGUGCUGCGGCGAAUUGUUCUUAGAAAGGUGUUAUCACAUUCUACAAAAACCCAGCCCUGUGCUGUUGCGCUUGGGACAACCGUUUGCCUUGUUAUCCAACAGUUCCGUGUGUGCUGCUCAUACAUCAGUUUAACAAACUCAUAUACUACCGGGAGACGGGGCCAGCUCACCUGGAUCCAUACCAAAGUUUCAUCUGUGCUCCCUUGACUUAUCGCGUCGUGUCGACAUGAGGAACAUGAAACCAGCUGCGGCUGUAGUUGCUAGUCAAGUUCGCAAGUCGUGGUGCGACAGCAAAACACGACCCGGUAGAUUCCUUCGCCGUUACGGUUGUGAAACCUGUUUAGGUUAGUAUGGCAGUGCCGUGGCGACUGUAGGGCGCUGUUGACCGCGGGAUUUACAAGGCAUUCACUAUCGCGCAAAGGCUUGAGUACUUUGCAUGCUUCACGGCUAAGCUCUUCAGCCAGGAGAGGCAAACGCCACCAUCAGGAUCGACGCACUCGAGAAACAGAAAACAUGCUAUUUAGAUGCGCGGACAGAGAUCCUUCCGUAAUUGUCGUAGAUCAGAAUCUAAGCGACUGUGAGGCCUUCUGGGCAUUCAGUAGUGACUUUCGUUCUGACGAAAACACAGACAGGAGGUGACGCAGAAACUAGUUGAACUGGGGUCAGAUAUAUGCCCACAAGAAAGUUCCGAAAUGAAUUGGAUCUCGUUCUAUGCGUUUUCCAUGUUGAAUGACGCGUCCGUGAUUGCUGCUACGGCGUUGUUUGCCGAUCGGCUCAACAGCGACUUAGUUGUGCAUUACACUGUUUUACUUGGUCUGUCGCCGUUUUGCUUUAUCCGUGUAUAUGUGCAUACAUAGGCAUGCAUUGAGCUGCAGUUGUGACUUAUGGAAAGUUUUACCAGAGUGAUUUUUGUUUCAGUGCAGGUGCGACAGCCGAAUCGGGAUGUCGGCGACAGCAGGUGUGCGGUUCUGUUUCUCAGGCACGCGCAACAUUAUGUGCCACAUGCCAAAGAGGUUCUGGAAAGAGACGUUUUAUUGACAGUUCGUUACCUGAUGACUCCCGGGACCUAUUCUUUUCCGUGAGACACUGUUUCCCUGACAGGAGGCGCCAGGGAACCGCAAGCGGGUUCAUAUAUCUUUAUCUAUCUAGCUACAUUUAUAUAU